UUGUGUUAUGUUCAUCAAUGUACCAUUCUUACAAUGUCAUAUGAGUCGUUUUUAUAAGCAUGAAUUGUCUAUCAUAAUGAGCUAUUGACAAUGAGUAAAGUAUUUUACUUAUGAGAGGAUACUAGGAAUGAAAAUGUUUAUUACUAUGGAUAUCUACCAAAUAUUCAUUACACUCUUUGGAUUACACUCUUUGGAUGUCUACUAAGAAUAUACUAUAUUAAAAUCUUACUAGAAAAAAAAAACCAAUAAAAAACAAUUUUAGUGAAGGAAGAAUAGUACAUUUUCCUUUUCUAUGGGAUCUGACUCAUUAUAAACUUUAUUAGCAACACAUGUAUAACAUAGCCUUAUUAAAACAACAACCCGUGGAUCACCAAGAAGUCCAUCUCAAACACUCACAUUUCAACAGUGAAACAACUUUCAAACCAACUUACAAUAAAUCUUCAUCUUGAUUGGUGGGUCCAACAAGCACUACCAUUUGUGGGUCAAUCGACAACACCAAUUCAAUAUUUCCAUCAUGCCAACAUAACAAUACGUAUAUUAUUUCACCUUCCAUUGUGAUAUUUCACUUUCCAUUGUAAUAAGUACAUUAGGAAAAUUACCGCAACAAUUUAUAGAUCACAAUUUCCUACUAAUACCGAAAAGGUGGGAUUGCCACGAUAGAUAAGUUCAUAAAUUCUGCAAUCUAUUGUUGAAUAAUGUUGUGGGAACUUCUAGAAUCAAUGAGUAUAGUAACUUUUAAUUUAUGAAUAUGGCCCUGAAGUCGGAAGGUGUGUGGUGAUAGGGUUCCUCCAAUGCAACAUAUGAAAGCACCAAAUGACGCACUUGAUCAUAGUUUUAGAAUUUAAUCAAAAUGUUUGUAAGAUACCACUUUACAACAGUGGUUGCUCCAUAGAAUAUAAGAAGACGAGAAGUUUUAUGAAAUAAGUGCUUAUUAUUUCCAUAACUACUCAUGAAUAAGUAUUGUGUUUGUUUUCUUACAAACAAGCAUAGCUUGACACUUGUAAUUUGUUCAUUUACUUACUUGAAAACAAUAACCGACAGAAGAUGAAACUAUCGUGUCUUGCCGUUACUAAUUCCUCUAACUUGGGCUAAGAGAUAACCUUUCACCGACAAUGGUUUCUUACUAUUUCUAUUGGGCUUAUCCUUUAAUUUCCCAAUUAGACCAUCAUCUAUUUCCUUUGGUGGUUCUUUUUUUUUUUUUAAGUGUUUCAUUUGUUCAUUUGGACCGUUAUCUCUGGUAUACGCUCUUUCGGACUCCAAUAAGUGAUAUUAGAGUCAUGGUUCAACUUGGUGGGAGGAGCGGGAAUGAGAUCCUAGUGUGGAUCAAAUCUAUUAACAUGGAUGACUCACAUAUAAGGGGGAGAUUGUAGGAAUUCAAGUGUGAAUAGGUAGUUCCACGUCGACCAGAAUUAAAGAAUUGUUCAAUAUGUAAGUGAGGUGACCC
RNAcentral lists this long non-coding RNA (1444 nucleotides) under Cicer arietinum (chickpea). Its description in RNAcentral is "long non-coding RNA (CARI_LNC000515)". Lineage: Eukaryota; Viridiplantae; Streptophyta; Magnoliopsida; Fabales; Fabaceae. The record is from RNAcentral.